AUUGAACGCCGGCGGCAUGCCUUACACAUGCAAGUCGAACGGCAGCACGGGAGCAAUCCUGGUGGCGAGUGGCGAACGGGUGAGUAAUAUAUCGGAACGUGCCCAGUCGUGGGGGAUAACGCAGCGAAAGCUGUGCUAAUACCGCAUACGAUCUAAGGAUGAAAGCGGGGGAUCGCAAGACCUCGCGCGAUUGGAGCGGCCGAUAUCAGAUUAGCUAGUUGGUGGGGUAAAGGCCCACCAAGGGGACGAUCUGUAGCUGGUCUGAGAGGACGACCAGCCACACUGGAACUGAGACACGGUCCAGACUCCUACGGGAGGCAGCAGUGGGGAAUUUUGGACAAUGGGCGCAAGCCUGAUCCAGCAAUGCCGCGUGCAGGAUGAAGGCCUUCGGGUUGUAAACUGCUUUUGUACGGAACGAAACGGCCCUUUCUAAUACAGGGGGCUAAUGACGGUACCGUAAGAAUAAGCACCGGCUAACUACGUGCCAGCCGCCGCAGUAA
This 500-nucleotide ribosomal RNA is filed under the name uncultured bacterium. RNAcentral's name for it is "partial 16S ribosomal RNA". It matches the Rfam family "Bacterial small subunit ribosomal RNA", at positions 30 to 523 of the family's 1533-position model. The record is from RNAcentral.